Molecule: ribosomal RNA, 1398 nt
Filed under: Exapion corniculatum
Lineage: Eukaryota; Metazoa; Arthropoda; Insecta; Coleoptera; Brentidae
Description: partial 16S ribosomal RNA
Source: RNAcentral
UUCAGAGGAACCUGUUCUGUAAUUGAUAAUCCACGAGUUAAAAUACUUAUUUUAAUAGUUUACAUAUCGUCGUAAUUUAAAUAUUUUUAUAGAAUUAUAAUAUUUAAGAUUUUUUAAUUAAUAAUAAUUCAGAUCAAGGUGUAGUUUAUAAAUAAGAAGAAAUGGGUUACAAUUAAAAAAUUAAUGAUGGAUGAUUAAUUUAAAAUUAAUCUAAAAUUGGAUUUGAAAGUAAUUUAAAUUAAAUUAUUUAGGUGAUUUUAGCUCUAAAAUAAGCACAUAUCGCCCGUCAUUUUCACUAUAAAGUGAAACAAGUCGUAACAUAGUAGGUGUACUGGAAAGUGUACCUAGAAAGACAAAUUAGAGCUUGAAAAAAGAAGCAUUUUAUUUACAUUAAAAAGUUUAUUGUGAAAAUCAAUAUAAUUUGAUAAUAAUUUAUUAUUAAAAUUUAAAGUUAAAAUUUAUUUUAUUAUAAUUAAUUAUAGGUUGAAUUAAAGGAUUUUGAAAUAAUUUAUAUUAUGAUAGUUUAUUAAUAUUGUAAAAGAAUUAAAUUUUUAAUUUUAAAGAAUAAUUAAUUUUUAAAAAACAUGGCUUGAUGAAUAAAAUAUUAAGUCUAACCUGCCCUAUGAAAAUUUAAAUGGCCGCGGUAUUUUGACCGUGCAAAGGUAGCAUAAUCAUUUGUUUUUUAAUUGAAAGCUGGAAUGAAGGGUUGAAUGAAAAAAUAACUGUCUUUAUAUUAGUUUUAGAAUUUUAUUUUUAAGUUAAAAAGCUUAAAUUGUAUUUGUAGACGAGAAGACCCUAUAGAGUUUAAUAAUUAAAUUAUUUUAUAAAUUUAGGAUUAAAUAAUAUAAAAUUAUUUAAUUAUUUAAUUGGGGUGAUUGAAAAAUUUAAUUAACUUUUUUUUAUAAUUACAUAAAUUAAUGGAUAAAUGAUCCUUUAUAAAGAUUAAAAGAUUAAAUUACCUUAGGGAUAACAGCGUAAUUUUUUUAAAGAGUUCAAAUCGAAAAAAAAGAUUGCGACCUCGAUGUUGGAUUAAAAUAAAAAUUUGGUGUAGAAGCUAAAUUAUUUGGUCUGUUCGACCAUUUAAAUUUUACUUGAUCUGAGUUCAAACCGGUGUAAGCCAGGUUGGUUUCUAUCUCUAAUUAGUUAAAAUAUUUUAGUACGAAAGGACCAAAUAUUUAAUUAAAAAUUUAGUUAAUGAAUAAUAGUAAUAAAUGUUAUUUUGGCAGAUUAGUGCAAUAGAUUUAGAAUCUUUUAAUGUAAAUUUUUACAAAUAAUACUUGUUAAUUAAGGAUUUAUUUUUAAUAUUAAUUUCUAGUUUAAUUUUAAUAUUGUGUGUUAUAAUUGGGGUAGCUUUUUUAACUUUAUUAGAACGGAAAGUUUUAGGAUAUAUUCAAAUUC